This 90-nucleotide transfer RNA is filed under the name Candidatus Bathyarchaeota archaeon. RNAcentral's name for it is "tRNA-Leu". It matches the Rfam family "tRNA". Rfam says of the family: Transfer RNA (tRNA) molecules are approximately 80 nucleotides in length. Their secondary structure includes four short double-helical elements and three loops (D, anti-codon, and T loops). Lineage: Archaea; Thermoproteati; Candidatus Bathyarchaeota. The record is from RNAcentral.
GCGGGGGUGGCCGAGCCAGGUCAAAGGCGGCGGGCUCAAGACCCGCUCCCCGGAGGGGGUUCGUGGGUUCAAAUCCCACCCCCCGCACCA